RNAcentral lists this long non-coding RNA (1071 nucleotides) under Sus scrofa (pig). Its description in RNAcentral is "lncRNA (ENSSSCG00060047058.1)". The record is from RNAcentral. Lineage: Eukaryota; Metazoa; Chordata; Mammalia; Artiodactyla; Suidae.
UCGGAUCCCGCGUUGCUGUGGUUCUGGCGUAGGCCGGUGGCUACAGCUCCGAUUCGACCCCUAGCCUGGGAACCUCCAUAUGCCGAGGCCCAAGAAAUAGCAAAAAGACAAAAAAAAAAAAAAAAGAACCUGACGUAGUCUCCGUUGAGGAAGUGGCCUCGCUCAGUGGGUUAAGGAUCUGGCAUUGCCACUGUGAGCUGUGGUGUAGGUCGCAGUUGCGGCUCAGAUCUGGUAUAGCUGUGGCUCUGGCAUAGGCCAGCAGCUGCAGCUCAGAUUUGAUCCCCAGCCUGGGAACUUCCAUAUGCCACAAGUGUGGCCAUAAAAAGAAAAUACAUCCUAAUUUCAAUAAUGGUCUUCUUCUUCCUACAAUUUCCAUCACAUUUUAAAAUGUUCCUUCAAUCUGUCCAGUUUCUGGGUGACUCACUAUUACGUUUUUCUUAGUAAAGGAGGAAACUUGUAUUUCCUGUUAGCAGGAUAUUUUUCCCCUGAAUUUGCCACCUAAUUACACUGUUUUUUCUCCUUUUUGUUCAGUACAGCAUGAUGGGGCAAGAAAAAGCCAGGCCAGACGCACUUGCUGUGAUGUGUUCAUAUCUGAGAGAAUCUGACAUUGUUGGGGGAUGGAGGCCCUGGAGUUUUCAAAUACUGAAUGACUGGUGUUGACCUUUAGCUGGCCAUGUUCUCUGUGCCAGAGCCAAGAACAAUCCACAGGUAUUAUUGACUUAGUGAUUUAAAGCUGCCAAAGAGGAUCCGGGAUGGAACCAACAUAGGGAUGCAGGUCUGUAAAAAGGAUAAAAUUAAACAUUGUACAGAAGUGGCCUUGUGCUUUCACAGCCUCCACAUUAGUAGAUAAAAACCAUCUUAUUUCUACUUUAUAGACACGAAACUGAAGGAAUAAGGAAACAAGUAUAUCCAGCAUUUAUUAUUUUUAACAGAAGCACAGUGAUGAGUUUUGGAACAUACAGAGAAAUAAGCUAAAGUCAAUACCCUCCAAGCAGUCACAAACUAGUGGACAGGGCUGACUGUGAAAAACACAAUAAUAAAGACACACAAUACAAUAGGAGGAUGACGUCU